CCCAGGUCAGGCGAGGCCACCCGCUGAGUUUAAGCAUAUCAAUAAGCGGAGGAGAAGAAACUUACAAGGAUUCCCCUAGUAACGGCGAGCGAACCGGGAGCAGCCCAGCUUGAGAAUCGGACGGUGCCCUCGCCGUCCGAAUUGUAGUCUGUAGAAGCUUCCUCAGUGACGGACCGGGUGCAAGUCUCCUGGAAGGGGGCGCCUGAGAGGGUGAGAGUCCCGUCGUGCCUGGAACCUGUCGCACCACGAGGUGUUGUCUGCGAGUCGGGUUGUUUGGGAAUGCAGCCC
RNAcentral lists this ribosomal RNA (288 nucleotides) under Najas flexilis. RNAcentral describes it as "partial 26S ribosomal RNA". It matches the Rfam family "Eukaryotic large subunit ribosomal RNA", at positions 1 to 288 of the family's 3401-position model. The record is from RNAcentral. Lineage: Eukaryota; Viridiplantae; Streptophyta; Magnoliopsida; Alismatales; Hydrocharitaceae. RNAcentral also lists the same sequence under 2 other names.